CUUGCACAGGUGCUGCAUGGCUGUCGUCAGCUCGUGUCGUGAGAUGUUCGGUUAAGUCCGCUAACGAGCGCAACCUCGCUGUGUGUUAUAUGUGUCACACGGGACUGCCGGGUCUUAAGCCGGAGGAAGGUGGGGAUGAUGUCAAGUCAGCAUGGCCUUUAUAUCCUGGGCUACACACACGCUACAAUGGCCAACACAAUAGGUUGCUAAGCCGCGAGGUGGCGCCAAUCCAUAAAGUUGGUCUCAGUUCAGAUUGUAGGCUGCAACCCGCCUGCAUGAAGAUGGAGUUGCUAGUAACCGCAGGUCAGCUAUACUGCGGUGAAUACGUUCCCGGGGCUU
This 339-nucleotide ribosomal RNA is filed under the name uncultured Leptolinea sp. RNAcentral describes it as "bacterial SSU rRNA". It matches the Rfam family "Bacterial small subunit ribosomal RNA", at positions 1029 to 1382 of the family's 1533-position model. The record is from RNAcentral. Lineage: Bacteria; Bacillati; Chloroflexota; Anaerolineae; Anaerolineales; Anaerolineaceae.